CGUUCCCGGGCCUUGUACACACCGCCCGUCACACCACGAAAGCCGGUCGGACCAGAAAUGGCUGUGCUAACCCGUAAGGGGGGCAGGUCCUUAAGGUCAUAUCGGUAAUUGGGGUG
This 116-nucleotide ribosomal RNA is filed under the name uncultured bacterium. RNAcentral's name for it is "partial 16S ribosomal RNA". It matches the Rfam family "Bacterial small subunit ribosomal RNA", at positions 1369 to 1482 of the family's 1533-position model. The record is from RNAcentral.